CUCUCACUCUGGCUGAGUUGUGGCUCUCACUGGGAUCAAACCAUGCAAAGAGAGCAUUAACGCUUUUACAUGGGGCUCUUCCAAUGAUUCUUGGCCAUGGAGGUCUGGAGCUUCGAGCUAGGGCGCGGAUUGCUGAAUCAAAAUGCUAUCUUUCUGAUCCAAGCUAUUCAGUUUUUGAAGAUUCUGAGGUUGUACUAGAUCCUUUGAGGCAAGCUUCUGAUGAGCUUCAGGUGUUGGAGUAUCAUGAAUUAGCUGCUGAAGGUUUCUACUUGAUGGCCAUAAUAUUUGACAAAUUGGGAAAACUAGAGGAAAGGGAAGAAGCUGCCGCUUCAUUCAAGAAACAUGUAAUGGCACUUGAGAAUCCUCAGGAUGAGGAUCCUUUGUUGAAUUUGUUAUAAUAAAAUUUGAAAUUAUGAAAUCAUUUAGUGUUUGUAUCUUUUACUCAUUUUCUCCUCCCUGUGAUGUCCCUAGAACAUAGUUAGCAUUUUAAGCCGUAAUUUUGGCC
RNAcentral lists this unclassified non-coding RNA (505 nucleotides) under Hevea brasiliensis (rubber tree). The record is from RNAcentral. Lineage: Eukaryota; Viridiplantae; Streptophyta; Magnoliopsida; Malpighiales; Euphorbiaceae.